GCGCCGCCAGCCGCCCUCCCCGCGCACGCCGCCGCGCGCCACCCUCCCCACCCGUGCCGCCGCACUGCUAACCAUCCACCCCACGCGACUCCGGCGGCCGCCCCAUCCCACCCAUGCGACUAUGGUGGACCUCUGUUCUUCCUGGAGCUCGCUGGAUCCGGUCCUCGGAGCUACGGAUUCGGUCCUGGGAGCUACGGAUCCGGUCAUGGAGAGCACCUAGCCCCGGCCUCGAUCCACCUCAAUGCAGCCAAGGGCGCCCGACGGCGGCGCUCCAAUCCAAGGCGUCGCAGCUGCACUCCAACGACUCUCCUCCGCCGACAUCGUCUUGCGCCAGGCCACGGUACCAGGGAGCACGGGCUGCUCCCCCAUCAACGCCGCCGAGGACCAUCUGAAAGCACAGGGGAGCUGCAGCCUUUAGUCUCUGUCUCCACCAUCUGAAUUUCUUGAACAGAAAAUGAGCCAAUAUACUCAUGAUAAAUAUCAAUUGUAUCAGUGCAAAAGUGCCCAUCCAGAAGCAAGGUGAGUAUAGCUCUUGCCAUUCUUGCAUAUGGUGCAAUAUAGUAGAAUUUGUAAUAAUGGGUGGCAAAUUUCAUGUCAAAAGCCAAUGGAGGAAUACAUUCUUGAGGAAUCAAUUUUCUCUUGUGAAAAUAUAGGAGCUAGUAGCUACAAUUAUGUCACUGGUACUGAGAAAAGUAGAAACAAACAUGUUCUUGUGAGGACUGAAUUUUAACUAUUUCUUUCAAGCAUUAUCUAAAACUAUAGAUAAGCUGCUAACCGUAACCAUGGUGAAGUUGACCUAGCAUGUUAAUUGUCAGGAAAAAGAACAAUUAACACCAAUUAUUGUGCCUUUUAAAGUAGUGACAUGGACCACAAGUGCUCAAAUCUUUCACAUUGGCGUUCUCUCUUACCUGAUGGUUUGCUGCCACAUGAACCAAAACUGGCUAACUAAUAUUCAUAUGCUGACAGAAACAUAUUCUGUGGAGCUCGGAGCUGUUGCUGCUUCUCCUAUGUGCAUAUUGCACAACUCUUCUGAACCCCUCUACUGGCUCUCUCAGAAAUACAACCUUGAUCUGACAGAACUGAACCAUAGAUGUUUCAUUUGGUUUUUGGAAUGUGCACGCAUUUAGAAGAAUCUCACAUGCACGGUUGCAAACCAUCUAAAGUUCAACCAACAAGCUCAAUAUAGUACUGUUAGAUCCAUUCAAAUUACUCUAGCACCCAACUUAGCAACCUGAUAAUAACAGCACGCUAGCUGAUGCCUAACUCUGCAGGGACCAUACAGUUGGAGAAAAACAGGUAAUCUGAAAAUGAAUGUCUACAUUUGGCUGGCUACAAACUCAUACUCCACAGCAGCUUCUCAUAUUUUUCUCCACUUGCCUAAUACAUGGUUGUUAUAUUUUUUAGAAAGUGUUGGGCAGUCUUUGACUUCAGUCUCUAGAAAGAGGUUGUCCACAUAACAUGGUGGGUGUGCUCUAAUGUUGGCAAGCCAUUUCUUUUGGUUUCUUAGUUCCUAGAAAUGGUUGUGUGCACAAACCUUAGUAUGUUUAACACAAAAUACUAGUAUUGCUUGCUAGGAGUGCAUUUAUGUAAUCUUUUGCACUUGUGCUUGGAUUUGAUAAACUUGUUGUAAUAAACAUGUGAAUGAUGAUGAACAUGUGACUUGUCGUUGUAAUAUAUUGUCAUUUGUGGUUCACCAUUAUGGUUGUGAUAUAUUGUGAGGCUUGAUA
Long non-coding RNA from Sorghum bicolor (sorghum), 1727 nucleotides. RefSeq lists it as uncharacterized. The transcript has 2 exons. The record is from RefSeq and is a predicted model, not a curated record. NCBI's taxonomy places the organism in Eukaryota, Viridiplantae, Streptophyta, Magnoliopsida, Poales, Poaceae.